RNAcentral lists this ribosomal RNA (497 nucleotides) under uncultured bacterium. Its description in RNAcentral is "partial 16S ribosomal RNA". It matches the Rfam family "Bacterial small subunit ribosomal RNA", at positions 28 to 507 of the family's 1533-position model. The record is from RNAcentral.
GACGAACGCUGGCGGCGUGCCUAAUACAUGCAAGUUGAGCGAUGAAGAUUGGUGCUUGCACCUAUGUGAAUAGCAGCGAACGGGUGGGUAACGCGUGGGGAAUCUGCCUUUGAGCGGGGGACAACAUUAGGAAACGAAUGCUAAUACCGCAUAAUAACUUUAAACAUAAGUUUUAAGUUUGAAAGAUGCAAUUGCAUCACUCAAAGAUGAUCCCGCGUUGUAUUAGCUAGUUUGUUAGGUAAAGGCCCAACAAGGCGAUGAUACAUAACCGACCUGAGAGGGGUGACCGCCAACUUGGGAACGAGAAACGGGCCAAACCCCCACGGGAGGGCGCAGGAGGGAAACCUUGGGAAUUGACGGAAGUCUUACCGGGCAAAGCCGGGGGAGGGAAGAAGGUUCUCGGAUCGGAAAAACCUGUUUGUAGGGAAGAACGUUGUGGAUAGUGGAAAGCGCAUAAAGUGACGGUAACUACCCAGAAAGGGACGGCUAACUACGUG